AAAAUUUAAAAUUAUAAUACUAAAAUAGUAAGUAAUAAUUUAUUAAAACUUAAAUAAUUUGGCGGUAUUUUAGUUCAUUUAGAGGAAUCUGUUUAAUAAUUGAUAUUCCACGAAUAAAUUUACUUAAUUUAAAAUUUUGUAUAUCGUUGUUAUAAAAAUAUUUUUUAAUAAAAUUAAUAUUUUAAAUUUAAUAUAUUAAUUUAAAUCAGAUCAAGAUGCAGAUUAUAAUUAAGAAUAUAAUGGAUUACAAUAAAUUUAUUUAAAUGAAUAUUAAUUUGUAAAAAUUAAUUGAAAGUGGAUUUAAAUGUAAUUUUAUUUAAUUAAAUAAAAUGAUUAGAUAAUAAAAUAUGU
This 351-nucleotide ribosomal RNA is filed under the name Acrapex breviptera. RNAcentral describes it as "partial 12S small subunit ribosomal RNA". The record is from RNAcentral. Lineage: Eukaryota; Metazoa; Arthropoda; Insecta; Lepidoptera; Noctuidae.